UGCUGCUUCAACUCACCAAUGACUCUGACUCUGGUUUGGGGUUGGCUGAGUUGUGUUGAUCCAUGUUGAUUCCUGCGGAUCCUCUAGAUGAAGGAAAAGACCAUCCUUACUAUGCGCUAGUCUCUCAAAUGCCUUAUGCUGCUUGACCUGGGUGGAUGUUUGUUGGAGCUUUAACGAGCAUCGCCUCGCAAACUUUCAAAGUUUUUGGUCCUUCCUCUAUAAAAUUUGCUCAUCGACUCUUCU
RNAcentral lists this long non-coding RNA (243 nucleotides) under Musa acuminata (dwarf banana). RNAcentral's name for it is "long non-coding RNA (MACU_LNC009160)". Lineage: Eukaryota; Viridiplantae; Streptophyta; Magnoliopsida; Zingiberales; Musaceae. The record is from RNAcentral.